CAGACGGGUGAGUAACGCGUGGUCAACCUACCGUUGAGUGGGGGAUAACUAGCCGAAAGGUUAGCUAAUACCGCAUACGUCUCCGAGGGGCGAUCCCUUGGCGAUAAAAGGAGUAAUCCGCUCGAUGACGGGACCGCGUCCCAUUAGCUAGAUGGUGGGGUAACGGCCUACCAUGGCACCGAUGGGUAGCUGGUUUGAGAGAGCGACCAGCCACACUGGGACUGAGAAACGGCCCAG
RNAcentral lists this ribosomal RNA (237 nucleotides) under uncultured bacterium. RNAcentral describes it as "partial 16S ribosomal RNA". It matches the Rfam family "Bacterial small subunit ribosomal RNA", at positions 99 to 334 of the family's 1533-position model. The record is from RNAcentral.